RNAcentral lists this non-coding RNA (159 nucleotides) under Sporobacter termitidis. Its description in RNAcentral is "GlcN6P sequence". It matches the Rfam family "glmS glucosamine-6-phosphate activated ribozyme aptamer". Rfam says of the family: This entry contains a glucosamine-6-phosphate activated ribozyme that is found in the mRNA for GlmS. GlmS is an enzyme that uses fructose-6-phosphate and glutamine to generate glucosamine-6-phosphate. Lineage: Bacteria; Bacillati; Bacillota; Clostridia; Eubacteriales; Oscillospiraceae. RNAcentral also lists the same sequence under 1 other name. The record is from RNAcentral.
UAAAAUUUAGAAGCGCCAGACUUCACGCAGAGCGCGGAGUUGACGAGGGCGGGGUUUAUCGAAGUAUUCGGCGGGUGCCCCGUGCUGCGGUCCAUCAGCAUUACAGGUUUUACAAAUCCUCAAGCAAUUGACGGGACAAAAUAAACCUGAUUGGGCCUU